GUUUUGUAUUAAUUGUUUGACCAAAGAAUAGAGGAUUAUGAUCUCCAUUCUUCGGUUUCACUUUGACGCCCUCAGCAAUUUAAUCUUGACGUAAUUUCAGAGUAACUAUUAUUGAUUAUUGACAUUCUCGACACUCCCCUGAAGGAGCUUUUCAGUGACAAAAAUUAUUAUUAUUUAUUAUUAUUAUUAAAGUCUUUAUUGUCUAGAGUCACAACAGACGUGCAACUUUACAAAUGUCAAAUUCCUAAUUAUUACAGUUAAAAUUGAUCUAUCCUAAUUAAUUAUAUGAAAGUUAAAAAUAGUUAAAAAGACAUCUAUUUAUGAAGGAUCGUUUAAAUCGUUCCGUUUUAAUUUGAGGUAAAAUAAAGUUAUGUUCCCUUUGUCUUAAAAUCCUUUGUUUACACACAGGAAGCAAUUCAUGUAGGGCAUGUUCUGGAUUCGAUACGAUUUUGCUAAAUAAUUUUCUGUCUCUCUCCUCGAUCACUUCAGAUAUCUUAAUACUCUUUGUCGUAUAUCCAUAACGAUAAGCCCGCCGGAAAAACUUGUCUAUA
Molecule: non-coding RNA, 551 nt
Organism: Paramuricea clavata
Lineage: Eukaryota; Metazoa; Cnidaria; Anthozoa; Malacalcyonacea; Plexauridae
Source: the annotation of a GenBank genome assembly